This 486-nucleotide unclassified non-coding RNA is filed under the name Hevea brasiliensis (rubber tree). Lineage: Eukaryota; Viridiplantae; Streptophyta; Magnoliopsida; Malpighiales; Euphorbiaceae. The record is from RNAcentral.
AUGAACUACCACCUCGUGAAUUAGAAGAUAUAUUCCAAGGAACUGGAUGCAAACCACUUGGAACACCAGAAAUGUGUAUUAUGCCAGAAUGGCUUCCUGAGUUACCUGCAUUCAUUGGCUGUGAAAUUGGUUGUCUGGGGCCCAAAUAAUUAGAUUCUGAAAUAGGUCGAGGCAUUACAAGAGUAGACCCAACACUAGAAUGCCCUAAAUCUGUCCCAAGAUUCCGUCCACUACCAGAAUUUCUGGCGGAGGUUUCUGCAACUCCACUAGCACCCCCUCUUGUUCCAACCAUAUUUCUUGGAUAAAGGUUUUCCAAGUGAUAAGUAUUCUGCACACUUGCUGAGGCUGGUGAUAUGUUUAAGUUGCUGGAAGCAUCAUAUUGACUUGGAAAAUUGUGUGCUAUAAUGUUCACAGGUUGUGUAUUGGAGCUUGAACUUCUACCACAAGACUGCCCAGAACUGCCUUCAAGGACCUUGCGCUUGCAGG